CACUAGCCAAUAUGCUUUUUCUCGCACGCCUUUCUUCGUUCAUGGUUCGAUAUUCUGGUGUCCUAGGCGUAGAGGAACAACACCAAUCCAUCCCGAACUUGGUGGUUAAACUCUACUGCGGUGACGAUACUGUAGGAGAGGUCCUGCGGCAAAAUAGCUCGACGCCAGGAU
Molecule: ribosomal RNA, 171 nt
Filed under: Gossypium anomalum
Lineage: Eukaryota; Viridiplantae; Streptophyta; Magnoliopsida; Malvales; Malvaceae
Source: RNAcentral